UGCUCCUAACCCAUGAGCUCUCCUUUGCAGCACUAGCUGCCACUGCAAUUAAACAGUGACUGGCCUUCUGGCAGGUUCCCCCAGGAUGGGAGUUCAGGUUUAAACCCUCUGGUUCCCUGCUGUGUCUUCAGCACUUAGAACUCAGUGAGAGCUCAAACAGUUGUGGAGCAAAUACAAGUCUCUCUCAGCUGCCCAAUGGGCCCCCUGAAGCUCAGGGCCAGCUGCAGACCACUCCUCGCUCAGUGACCAUGCAGAGACCAAGGGGUGUAGGGGUGAUUCAGCCCUGCUCUUGGUGGGAGCUAUUGGGAGAAGGGCAACAGGCCUCAUGGAGCCUCACUCACAGGAAGUGAUUCCUUGGGAAAAAGAAGCCAAGGACAUGGAGAAUUGAUAAGCUCAGAAUGAAGGUCAGGUCUGAGAUUCUCAGAACCAGUGUGUUAGGUUCUGAGACAAAUAUCCUGAAGUUUUGUACUAAAUGAAUGCAGGAUGCAAUAUUGUAAUUUGUAAGAAAUUAUUUGGUCAUUCAGGAAAUAUACUUCCAUACACAUAUGUCAAUUUCCCAAGUGUUGAGAGUGAAAGAGGUGUGUUAUCAAUGAAGUGACUUUUGGAAAGCACCUGAGGAUGGGCUGGCUACCAAUGAAGCCAACCUAUGGCCCCCAGAUUAGAACUUUCUGUUCCUUCCCCACUUCCCACACCUAACCAUGCCCAUCUCCAACCUCCGCCGGAAAGGACAGUGGGGCUGGAGAUUGAAUCAACAGACAACAAUUUAAUCAAUAGUCCUAUGGAAUGAAGCCUCCAAAAACCAAGAGGAUGCAUUCAGAGAGCUCCGGGAUGGUGAACACGUGGAGACUUGGGGAGAGCAAUGCACCUGGAGAGAGCUGGGAGCGCUGUGCCCGUUCCCACAUAUCAUGCCCAAUCUAUAACAGGCUGGUCAGAACACUGACAUGAUCUUUGGACAAGAAGACAAUGGCAUCCUAAGCAUCUGAGAAAAGGCAGCUAAGAAGCUAUUUGGAAAGAUGUGAUGAAAGAUGCAGAGAAGAUGAUGAAAAGAAUGACUGGGCAGAGAGGUUACAAAGAAGAAACUCCUUUGCAGAUAUGCAAUUGUUUGGAGGCUUCUAAAAGCUAAAGGCACAGUCCAGGCAAGACCAUUAGUAAAAGCUCUUAAAAUCCUAUAUAAUAAAAGCC
This is a long non-coding RNA of Pipistrellus kuhlii (Kuhl's pipistrelle), 1182 nucleotides long. RefSeq lists it as uncharacterized. NCBI's taxonomy places the organism in Eukaryota, Metazoa, Chordata, Mammalia, Chiroptera, Vespertilionidae. The record is from RefSeq and is a predicted model, not a curated record. The transcript is spliced from 2 exons.